This 492-nucleotide ribosomal RNA is filed under the name uncultured bacterium. RNAcentral describes it as "partial 16S ribosomal RNA". It matches the Rfam family "Bacterial small subunit ribosomal RNA", at positions 29 to 507 of the family's 1533-position model. The record is from RNAcentral.
AGUGAACGCUGGCGGUAGGCCUAACACAUGCAAGUAGAACGGCAGCACAGUAAGAGCUUGCUCUUACGGGUGGCGAGUGGCGGACGGGUGAGGAAUACAUCGGAAUCUACUUUUUCGUGGGGGAUAACGUAGGGAAACUUACGCUAAUACCGCAUACGACCUACGGGUGAAAGCAGGGGAUCUUCGGACCUUGCGCGAUUGAAUGAGCCGAUGUCGGAUUAGCUAGUUGGCGGGGUAAAGGCCCACCAAGGCGACGAUCCGUAGCUGGUCUGAGAGGAUGAUCCGCCACACUGGAACUGAGACACGGUCCAGACUCCUACGGGAGGCAGCAGUGGGGAAUAUUGGACAAUGGGCGCAAGCCUGAUCCAGCCAUACCGCGUGGGUGAAGAAGGCCUUCGGGUUGUAAAGCCCUUUUGUUGGGAAAGAAAAGCAGCAGGUUAAUACCCCGCUGUUCUGACGGUACCCAAAGAAUAAGCACCGGCUAACUUCGUG